AGCAGCCGCGGUAAUUCCAGCUCCAAUAGCGUAUAUUAAAGUUGUUGCAGUUAAAAAGCUCGUAGUUGAACUUCGGGAUUUGCCCAUUGGUCAGGCUUAACUGUCUGCACUGGUGUGACGAGUUCCUACCUUCUGAGGAAUCUCCAUGUCAUUCAGUUGGUGUGGGGGGAAAUCAGGACUGUUACUUUGAAAAAUUAGAGUGUUUAAAGCAGGCGUCCGUCUGAAUACAUUAGCAUGGAAUAAUAAAAUAGGACGUCGGUUCUAUUUUGUUGGUUUCUAGGACCGCCGUAAUGAUUAAUAGGGACAGUCGGGGGCAUCAGUAUUCAAUCGUCAGAGGUGAAAUUCUUGGAUUUAUUGAAGACUAACUACUGCGAAAGCAUUUGCCAAGGAUGUUUUCAUUAAUCAGUGAACGAAAGUUAGGGGAUCGAAGACAAUCAGAUACCGUCGUAG
This 450-nucleotide ribosomal RNA is filed under the name uncultured Glomeromycotina. RNAcentral describes it as "SSU rRNA". It matches the Rfam family "Eukaryotic small subunit ribosomal RNA", at positions 569 to 1023 of the family's 1831-position model. Lineage: Eukaryota; Fungi; Glomeromycota. The record is from RNAcentral.